UGGCUCAGUGGUUAAGAGCACUGAUUGCUCUUCCAGAAGACCUGGGUUCAAUUCCCAG
This 58-nucleotide transfer RNA is filed under the name Cricetulus griseus (Chinese hamster). The record is from Rfam by way of RNAcentral. Lineage: Eukaryota; Metazoa; Chordata; Mammalia; Rodentia; Cricetidae.